UAAGGAAUAUUGGACAAUGGACGCAAGUCUGAUCCAGCCAUGCCGCGUGAAGGAUGAAUGCCCUCUGGGUUGUAAACUUCUUUUAUAGGGGAAGAAAGAUACUUUUUUUAAGGUAGUUGACGGUACCCUAUGAAUAAGCACCGGCUAACUCCGUGCCAGCAGCCGCGGUAAUACGGAGGGUGCAAGCGUUAUCCGGAUUUACUGGGUUUAAAGGGUGCGUAGGCGGGCAUGUAAGUCAGUGGUGAAAUACCGGAGCUUAACUUCGGAACUGCCAUUGAUACUAUAUGUCUUGAAUAUUGUGGAGGUAAGCGGAAUAUGUCAUGUAGCGGUGAAAUGCAUAGAUAUGACAUAGAACACCAAUUGCGAAGGCAGCUUACUACACAAUCAUUGACGCUGAGGCACGAAAGCGUGGGGAUCAAACA
Molecule: ribosomal RNA, 422 nt
Filed under: uncultured bacterium
Lineage: Bacteria
Description: bacterial SSU rRNA
Rfam family: Bacterial small subunit ribosomal RNA
Source: RNAcentral